GGUUCGUGGCUCAUUGGUAGAGCACUUGCCUAGCAUGCAAGACACUGGGUUCGACUCUCAGCACCA
This 66-nucleotide transfer RNA is filed under the name Ictidomys tridecemlineatus (thirteen-lined ground squirrel). RNAcentral's name for it is "Spermophilus tridecemlineatus (thirteen-lined ground squirrel) tRNA". It matches the Rfam family "tRNA". Rfam says of the family: Transfer RNA (tRNA) molecules are approximately 80 nucleotides in length. Their secondary structure includes four short double-helical elements and three loops (D, anti-codon, and T loops). Lineage: Eukaryota; Metazoa; Chordata; Mammalia; Rodentia; Sciuridae. The record is from Rfam by way of RNAcentral.